Molecule: unclassified non-coding RNA, 123 nt
Filed under: Puccinia polysora
Lineage: Eukaryota; Fungi; Basidiomycota; Pucciniomycetes; Pucciniales; Pucciniaceae
Description: ITS2
Source: RNAcentral
GAAACCCUUCUCAUUAUUAAAUUUAUUUUUAAUAUUGGAUGUUGAAUGUUGCAAAAUGAAGUUCAUUUUGCUCAUUUUAAAUGCAACAAAGUUAUAUUCAGGAAAAGAAAAAAAAAAGGGAAC